Molecule: transfer RNA, 81 nt
Filed under: Porphyra umbilicalis (laver)
Lineage: Eukaryota; Rhodophyta; Bangiophyceae; Bangiales; Bangiaceae
Also listed under: 5 other names
Description: tRNA-Leu
Rfam family: tRNA
About the family: Transfer RNA (tRNA) molecules are approximately 80 nucleotides in length.
Source: RNAcentral
GCCCAUUUGGUGAAAUAGGUAAACACGACAGAUUUAAAAUCUGUUCUUUUUAAGUUAUCGGUUCAAGUCCGAUAGUGGGCA